RNAcentral lists this transfer RNA (77 nucleotides) under Erysipelotrichia bacterium. RNAcentral's name for it is "tRNA-Ala". It matches the Rfam family "tRNA". From Rfam's summary of the family: Transfer RNA (tRNA) molecules are approximately 80 nucleotides in length. Their secondary structure includes four short double-helical elements and three loops (D, anti-codon, and T loops). The record is from RNAcentral. Lineage: Bacteria; Bacillati; Bacillota; Erysipelotrichia.
GGGCCUAUAGCUCCAAUUGGGAGAGCGCCUGCUUUGCACGCAGGAGGUUGUCGGUUCGAACCCGACUGGGUCCACCA